RNAcentral lists this long non-coding RNA (1367 nucleotides) under Gallus gallus (chicken). Its description in RNAcentral is "long non-coding RNA NONGGAT004957". Lineage: Eukaryota; Metazoa; Chordata; Aves; Galliformes; Phasianidae. The record is from RNAcentral.
AAGGGCCGUUGGAGGGAGGAGAGCCGGUGGGGCUAUAGAACCUUCCAGAGCGGCGGCGACGCGGCGUGGAUUGGGGAGUGUUGAAGUGAGGUGCUGUGAAGCUGCAGUCAGACUGUGUUGUGGUAAAGAAGAGAAAGCAGCAGCAAGAUCCUGUGUUCUGACGGUGGCCUUGCACUUCACUGUGGGAUCUUAGUCAAGACGAGACAUGUGCGAACCCAGUGGCAGUGUGAGGACCCAGCCUUGUGUACACAUCUGGUGCUGCUUUACUCACGUUCUCCCACUCAGAAAAUCUGAUGAUAAAGACCUCAGGAAAGCAGUACAUCUCAGUCCUACAGAAACUGACCUGGCCUCUCUUAAUGAAAUGUAUUCUCUGCGAGAGAAGACAACUCGGUGAUCCUUGUUUAUAACAACUACACUUAUAAGAAUGGAAGUGUGGGGAGUACGACCAUCACUUUUCAAGCUACCGGUAACCUGCAGUGUAUGCCCAGGCCCCUGCUUUUCAGAGCUAGGCACCAGAGCUGAAUUAGCUGUGAUUAGAAAAUACAGGAAUGUUCUUUAAGGCAGAGAAGCAGAGCAAGCAAAGUUUUCCCUAGGGGUGUCAUCAUCUGGUGCUUCAUGCCUUGUAUGAAUCAGCUUCUGAAAUUUCAAGACAAUGUACUUUCAUGGCUGCAACUCUCAUCUCCUCAAAUAAAACCGGGCUGAAAGAUACUUACUGCCUUUAUAAAGCUCAGACCUUCAUGUGAUUUAAUACCAUCAGCUCCAGACUGAUUCCUGCAGUUCACUCUGGCAGUAAGAAGAUGUUUCAAGAGUCCAGCUCUAAUUGUUCUUGAUUUUCACUGAGUCUUAACAUAAGCUGUUGUUCAUAAUAAAGGCUCUUUGCAUAGUUUAUUUCUUGACAUAGCUUUACUGCAAGAACUUCAGAUUUCACAUUGACCUGCAGAAAGAAAUGGGUAUGUUGUUAAAGAGGCACUGUUUUUUUGUUUGUUUGUUUGUUUCACUGACUGAAGGAAUUUGCAUGGCUGUGCUUGAGGGAAUAAAAGUGCUUCAAUGGAAAUCUUGUUCUCAGUGAUGAGGAUGAGGUAUGGGAGAAAUGAGAGAGGGAAAGACAGGUAACUGAGUUUUGGUAAUAUUGGGUGGGAAUAGAAACAUCUUGCAAUAUCUGAAGUUAUUUCCUUUGCUUCCUCUCCUACCUUUCAUCUGUCUGUUCUGUUUGGAAUGUAAACUGACUUAGGUCAGGGGUGAGCUUGUAACCUUGUCUGUAAAACAGACCUGGAACAACUACUGUAAUGAAGCAGAAAACCCACUUGGUUGAGAGGUGAGAUACUGAUUAAUUUUUAUAUGUAUGACAUAAAUAGUCUUUCCAAUCU